This 666-nucleotide ribosomal RNA is filed under the name bacterium Ips_2. Its description in RNAcentral is "bacterial SSU rRNA". It matches the Rfam family "Bacterial small subunit ribosomal RNA", at positions 17 to 696 of the family's 1533-position model. The record is from RNAcentral.
UCAUGGCUCAGGACGAACGCUGGCGGCGUGCUUAACACAUGCAAGUCGAACGAUGAACUGGAGCUUGCUCCAGGGAUUAGUGGCGAACGGGUGAGUAACACGUGAGUAACCUGCCCUUGACUCUGGGAUAAGCGCUAGAAAUGGCGUCUAAUACCGGAUACGAGCUUCAGCCGCAUGGCUAGGAGUUGGAAAGAAUUUUGGUCAAGGAUGGACUCGCGGCCUAUCAGCUAGUUGGUGAGGUAAUGGCUCACCAAGGCGACGACGGGUAGCCGGCCUGAGAGGGUGACCGGCCACACUGGGACUGAGACACGGCCCAGACUCCUACGGGAGGCAGCAGUGGGGAAUAUUGCACAAUGGGCGAAAGCCUGAUGCAGCAACGCCGCGUGAGGGAUGACGGCCUUCGGGUUGUAAACCUCUUUUAGUAGGGAAGAAGCGAAAGUGACGGUACCUGCAGAAAAAGCACCGGCUAACUACGUGCCAGCAGCCGCGGUAAUACGUAGGGUGCAAGCGUUGUCCGGAAUUAUUGGGCGUAAAGAGCUCGUAGGCGGUUUGUCGCGUCUGCUGUGAAAUCUGGGGGCUCAACCCCCAGCCUGCAGUGGGUACGGGCAGACUAGAGUGCGGUAGGGGAGAUUGGAAUUCCUGGUGUAGCGGUGGAAUGCGCAGAUA